This 18-nucleotide microRNA is filed under the name Chiloscyllium plagiosum (whitespotted bambooshark). RNAcentral's name for it is "microRNA PC-3p-612857_2". Lineage: Eukaryota; Metazoa; Chordata; Chondrichthyes; Orectolobiformes; Hemiscylliidae. The record is from RNAcentral.
GAAGCCUGUUCUGCCAUU